RNAcentral lists this ribosomal RNA (245 nucleotides) under uncultured bacterium. RNAcentral describes it as "partial 16S ribosomal RNA". It matches the Rfam family "Bacterial small subunit ribosomal RNA", at positions 524 to 768 of the family's 1533-position model. The record is from RNAcentral.
GACGUAGGUGGCAAGCGUUAUCCGGAUUUACUGGGCGUAAAGAGCGCGCAGGCGGCUUGAUAAGUCGGAUGUGAAAUCUUUCGGCUUAACUGGAAGAAGCCAUUCGAUACUGCCAGGCUAGAGUGCAACAGAGGGAGAUGGAAUUCCCGGUGUAGUGGUGAAAUGCGUAGAUAUCGGGAGGAACACCAGUGGCGAAGGCGGUCUCCUAGGUUGUUACUGACGCUGAGGCGCGAAAGUGUGGGGAG